Molecule: transfer RNA, 76 nt
Filed under: Treponemataceae bacterium
Lineage: Bacteria; Pseudomonadati; Spirochaetota; Spirochaetia; Treponematales; Treponemataceae
Description: tRNA-Arg
Rfam family: tRNA
About the family: Transfer RNA (tRNA) molecules are approximately 80 nucleotides in length.
Source: RNAcentral
UGAGAGAUUAGCUCAUUUGGAUAGAGCGUCGCCCUCCGGAGGCGAAGGUGGCAGGUUCGAAUCCUGUAUCUCUCAA